GGCCUUUGCAUUCCCAGGGACUAAAAACAAAACAAAGUCCGGGCAAAUCUGCAGCAGAAGCACCUCAAACCAGGGGCUGGGCCAGGCCUGGGUUCAGAGCCGGGGCUAUGUUCCCGCCUGGGGUUAUCGCAGCCUAGCUGCUUGCUGCCGGUUCCCGAUGUUUUGCUGGUCUUGGAGCGGACGCGAAAGCAAGGAUCUGAGCCCUCCUCCUCCGCCAGGACCCUCGGAGCAGCCCGGGUCUGACCCAAGACGCGGCUCUUUUCUGCUGUGCACGUUGCGACACUUUGCACAUCUGCCUGCCCCGUUUGGGAAGCCGCGUGCUGUCACUUAGAUUGACCGGCUCUUUCGGGAUGACCGGCUCGAUUUCCCUGCAAGGGGAAGGACCAGCCGGCGCCCGCGCGCCGCUCUCGGAGGAUCCGGCUUUGCCGGGAGCCCGGACGAGGCUGCCGAGCCAGCUGUGUUGCCCAGAGGUUUGCGCGCACCCGGGCGCAGACCAGCUGCUCGGAGCUGCUGUAUCGCUUCAGCAGAGCCGAGACGAGAAGCAGGUGGGAACCCAGCUUCGAUUCUUUGCGUGCAAAUGGCCUCCCCACUCCAGAUACUGAUGAGUUUAUUAAGGGAUUAAAAGUUAGCUCUCCCUGCUUAUUGAAUCCUAUGAUUUAUGCAUGCAUUUAAAUCAAUCCUAUUUCCUGCAUUUUAUCCCUUCUCCCUGAGGCUUUCAGGCUUUGCUCUAAUCACGUUGUUUUGAGGCAAGCUAGACACCGUAGGUGGUUUAAGAGAUUUGAAUAAACGAGCUGCAUUAUUUCAGCAGUUCUCCCAGGUGCUAAUUGCCCCUCCUGCGCUGGAGGUGCCCAUACUUGGCAAGUUUGUGCUGCCUCGCGGUGAAAUAUUAAUGAGUGUGCUCACUAAUGAAGCUGUUGUGUGCAGCUUAGGUCCUAGCCCCUGCCGAAGCUGUGCACUCGAGUCGGCUUCAGGCCGGGGAGCUGAGCGCUGCUCAGAGCAUCUUCACCCCGCACGCAGCUCAGAGCUCGGCUGAGGGAGAUGCUGCCCUUGAUUUACUCCUAGGCCUUUCAGUGGCUGGAGGGGACAUCCAACGCGUGCCUGAACAGGGUUUAUCUCCAUGGAGGCGGUGACAGAAGCCGCCGACCCACCAGGCGAGCGACGAUGCGCACAAUAUGUCACACCGAGCCGCUGGCUCCCUUCGUGGAGAUGAAGCAGCUCAGAGAGGAAGAAGGAGGAGGAAAAAAAAAAAAAAAGUAAAAA
Struthio camelus australis is the source of this 1260-nucleotide non-coding RNA. The record is from RefSeq and is a predicted model, not a curated record. NCBI's taxonomy places the organism in Eukaryota, Metazoa, Chordata, Aves, Struthioniformes, Struthionidae.